Transfer RNA from Felis catus (domestic cat), 85 nucleotides. It matches the Rfam family "tRNA". Rfam says of the family: Transfer RNA (tRNA) molecules are approximately 80 nucleotides in length. Their secondary structure includes four short double-helical elements and three loops (D, anti-codon, and T loops). Further hydrogen bonds mediate the characteristic L-shaped molecular structure. tRNAs have two regions of fundamental functional importance: the anti-codon, which is responsible for specific mRNA codon recognition, and the 3' end, to which the tRNAs corresponding amino acid is attached (by aminoacyl-tRNA synthetases). tRNAs cope with the degeneracy of the genetic code in two manners: having more than one tRNA (with a specific anti-codon) for a particular amino acid; and 'wobble' base-pairing, i.e. permitting non-standard base-pairing at the 3rd anti-codon position. NCBI's taxonomy places the organism in Eukaryota, Metazoa, Chordata, Mammalia, Carnivora, Felidae. The record is from Rfam.
GCCUGGGUGGCUCAGUCGGUUAAGCGUCAGACUUUGGCUCAGAUCAUGAUGUCAUGGUUCGUGGGUUGGAGCCCCACUUUGGGCU